Molecule: non-coding RNA, 30 nt
Filed under: Rattus norvegicus (Norway rat)
Lineage: Eukaryota; Metazoa; Chordata; Mammalia; Rodentia; Muridae
Source: RNAcentral
UGAUUACUUACAUACUAUUUUAUCUCAGGA